Ictidomys tridecemlineatus (thirteen-lined ground squirrel) is the source of this 647-nucleotide non-coding RNA. The record is from RefSeq and is a predicted model, not a curated record. NCBI's taxonomy places the organism in Eukaryota, Metazoa, Chordata, Mammalia, Rodentia, Sciuridae.
UUAUGUCACUGAGGCUGUCCCAGAAGGCUGCUGGCCUGGCUGCACUUCUCAACUGCCCUUGUCCACAUGGAACAGCGUGUCCAGGGAAGCCCCACCUGGCCCAAAGAGGGCAGCAGGUGGGAGAUUCCUUGUGGUCACUGAGCUGUGUGUCUCCCCGCUCAGGGGCUUUGGCCUCCCAGGCAGCAGGAGCAGGCUCCUGUGUGCAGAGUCGGGUGGUGCCUGCUGCUCCUCAGCUCUGGGCGAAGCUGCCCUCCCUCCUUAAACCCCCUCAGAGCCCGGCUGAGUCCUCUGCCUCCAGGCCUCCUGGGUGUCUGUGUGCUGGCCGAGCUCUGGAUGAGCAGAGACACGGCCCCUCAUGCAGCCCAGGGGUCUGAGCCAGUUCACCAACCCAGACCCUGAAAAGGAGGGCUGGGUGCACCCGGGAAAGACCCCGCUGCACGCAGACAUCGCAAAUGCCAAGGCUGUCUCCAUCGGCCACCAGAGAGCUGCAGCUGUCUACUGGGUGUCUGAACUUCAGAAAGCGACCUGGGGACCUACGAGGACGGAUUCCAGCUCUGAAAUGGCACUAAUCCCGGGGCUCCGAUGUGCCAUGUGACCCCUUCGGGGCUGGGCUGUGUUCCGUCUGCAGAUAAAUGGGGUUUGGCGGG